RNAcentral lists this small RNA (272 nucleotides) under Erinaceus europaeus (western European hedgehog). RNAcentral's name for it is "7SK RNA (ENSEEUG00000020230.1)". It matches the Rfam family "7SK RNA". From Rfam's summary of the family: 7SK was discovered as an abundant small nuclear RNA in the mid-70s but a possible function has only recently been suggested. Two independent studies have found that 7SK RNA binds the CDK9/cyclin T complex (known as elongation factor P-TEFb). P-TEFb activates transcription by phosphorylating the C-terminal domain of RNA polymerase II. Lineage: Eukaryota; Metazoa; Chordata; Mammalia; Eulipotyphla; Erinaceidae. The record is from Rfam by way of RNAcentral.
GGAUGUGAGGGCUACCUGGCUGCGACAUCUGUCACCCCAUUGAUCGCCAGAGUUGAUUCAGCUAAUCUGGCUGGCUAGGCAGGUGUCCCCUUCCUCCCUCACUGCUCCAUGUCUGCCCCUCCCAAAACUGUGCGCUCAGUUGAAGAGGACAGCCUUCCCUGAAUAGAGAUGGACUAGUCUCCCUGCUAGAAUCUCCGAACAAGCUCUCAAAUGUGUCCUAUGUUCCCUGCUUUCUGGCAUCUCCCAUGUAUCAAAGUAGCCAACGGCAGCUU